This 253-nucleotide ribosomal RNA is filed under the name uncultured bacterium. Its description in RNAcentral is "partial 16S ribosomal RNA". It matches the Rfam family "Bacterial small subunit ribosomal RNA", at positions 524 to 775 of the family's 1533-position model. The record is from RNAcentral.
UACGUAGGGGGCAAGCGUUGUCCGGAUUUACUGGGCGUAAAGGGCGCGUAGGCGGCUUGAUUUGUCGGGGGUGAAAACUCUGGGCUUAACCCAGAGGGGUCUCUCGAAACGGUCGGGCUUUGAGGGCGGUAGAGGAUGGUGGAAUUCCGGGUGUAGUGGUGAAAUGCGUAGAGAUCCGGAGGAACACCAGUGGCGAAGGCGGCCAUCUGGGCCGGCCCUGACGCUGAGGCGCGAAAGCGUGGGGAGCGAACUG